Molecule: ribosomal RNA, 468 nt
Filed under: uncultured bacterium
Lineage: Bacteria
Description: partial 16S ribosomal RNA
Rfam family: Bacterial small subunit ribosomal RNA
Source: RNAcentral
GAUGAACGCUGGCGGCGUGCCUAACACAUGCAAGUCGAGCGAUUUACUUCGGUAAAGAGCGGCGGACGGGUGAGUAACGCGUGGGUAACCUGCCCUGUACACACGGACAACAUACCGAAAGGUAUGCUAAUACGGGAUAAUAUGUUUUGAUCGCAUGAUCGAAAUAUCAAAGCUCCGGCGGUACAGGAUGGACCCGCGUCUGAUUAGCUAGUUGGUAAGGUAACGGCUUACCAAGGCGACGAUCAGUAGCCGACCUGAGAGGGUGAUCGGCCACAUUGGAACUGAGACACGGUCCAAACUCCUACGGGUGGCAGCAGUGGGGAAUAUUGCACAAUGGGCGAAAGCCUGAUGCAGCAACGCCGCGUGAGCGAUGAAGGCCUUCGGGUCGUAAAGCUCUGUCCUCAAGGAAGAUAAUGACGGUACUUGAGGAGGAAGCCCCGGCUAACUACGUGCCAGCCGCCGCCGUAA